This 85-nucleotide transfer RNA is filed under the name Candidatus Omnitrophota bacterium. RNAcentral describes it as "Candidatus Omnitrophica bacterium tRNA-Leu". It matches the Rfam family "tRNA". Rfam says of the family: Transfer RNA (tRNA) molecules are approximately 80 nucleotides in length. Their secondary structure includes four short double-helical elements and three loops (D, anti-codon, and T loops). Lineage: Bacteria; Pseudomonadati; Candidatus Omnitrophota. The record is from RNAcentral.
GCCGGGGUGGCGGAAUGGCAGACGCAACGGACUUAAAAUCCGUUGGGGAUCACUCCCCGUGAGGGUUCGACUCCCUCCCUCGGCA